CCUGUCCUGCUCCGGUGUGGAAAGGGGGGGACGCGGGUCUUUCGUCGUCUUUUCAUCUUUCGUCGGGCUUAGAUCAGCCAUUUCCAAAGAAAAAGAUCCCAAAACAUGAAAGGCUCUGAGAAAAUGUUUGAUCCCAGGCAGUAAACUCGGCAACCUUGUCUCUGACCAGCGCUUUGGAAAAGGGACUCAAAGCUUAUCUGGCAGGUUGGUCUGUCUGCAUCAAGGACACAUCCUGUCACUCUGGUGAAGGUGAGCUGAAGGCAACUAAACUAUUCCCUCUGUUCCUUGCUGCACCAAUCAGUGGUUGAAUCAGCAGAGGAGAUGCCACAUCCUAGUCAGAGCACAGGAGUCUGUGCAAUGGGAUCUAUUCCAGAAUGCUCGGAUUUUCACAGGUGUUCCCCCCACAAUGGGAAGCAGCUGAUCAGUUAUCCCAGCAAGCACUGAAGGCUUGCUUGCCAGUAUGGAAGGAGACUCUCUCCAUACAGCCUUCCAUGGUGAUCUCCUGGGAGGGGAUGGUUCAGUCCUGUGGUACAGCAUCCCUGCAUACAGAAUUCAUGCCGUAGUCCUGAAACAUGGGGAUUUGCCUCUUCAGCCUGGGAACGGACUGGUGCAUCACUUCUUAAGGUGAUUUUAGUGCAGUG
Haliaeetus leucocephalus (bald eagle) is the source of this 641-nucleotide long non-coding RNA. RefSeq lists it as uncharacterized. The record is from RefSeq and is a predicted model, not a curated record. The transcript has 5 exons. NCBI's taxonomy places the organism in Eukaryota, Metazoa, Chordata, Aves, Accipitriformes, Accipitridae.